AACUUUGAAAUGACAUCUGUAUUCAGUAAGCUGAAAAAUAAAUACUAUCACACCAAUAAUGUAGUGAAGUACAGAAUAUAUGCUUUGUGACAUAGUUUCCAGUAGUAGGUAUCUCCUAGUUUUAAUUAAUUUAGAUUUAAGAUUUUAGAGUCCUUAAUUCUACUUUUCUGAAGGUGACUUGAAGGAUAGAUUUGUCACCAAAUUGACCAGGCAUGCAAAAUAACGAGAGUGCUCCAUACAUCCCAUACCUGCAGGUGAAUAUGCAACAGCAUUUAGCUGUUACAUGUACUAAACCAACAGCCUUUACUGUUACACAGAAUGCAAUUCUUAGAACUAAAAUACAUACAUGGAAAAAAGUAGCAGGUUUAUUUCCAUGCUUCUUGAUGCUGAGGCACUUUUAAGUAAUUUUCCUAGUGAUGUAACUUCACCAUCAAUAUCAAUUUUUAAUGUCUUCAAGGGACGUCUCAGAUUUUAUGUUUCUGGGGACAUUUUAGUCAAACCUCCUGCUCUCUGAAAGAGCUUGUUCUCCAAGUUCCUCCUGCUCUGAUUUAGGACCUAUUUAAACUUAAUACCUAUGAAUGGAAAAAAGCUUGCAGCUCUAGAUAAUAAAUGUUACAACUGCCACCAUACCUAUCAUUCUUCCUCUGAAACUAUCAUUUUUAUGUAUCUAUUCCUGAUUUAAGGGGGAUUCUGAUAGGAAUGACAUUCUACUGUUAUUCUCUAAACCAAAUAACUGUGUCAACUGGUUUCUUGGACCCAUGCUAGACAAAACAUGGAGACAUUUCAGCAAGCAGGUCCUGCGAUGCUCCUGAAGCAACGAGGAGAACCAGAUACUGGAAAGAAACAAUUAUAACUCUGUGGAAGACAACAUGCCUGUGUUGGUAAGUUUGCAUAGGUACAAUUCUUACUUUGUACAUAAAACUUCAGAUUAGAAAUGCAUAAUUAUGUAUUUAUUCUGGGAAAGUGUAAAUCAUGACAUAAUGCAUAGAACUACAAAGACAGUUUCCCUUGUUCUAGUCACAAGGGAAUAUUAAGAUGAGGACCAAUUUAAAAUAUCAAAUCGUAGUGCUUAUAAACUGAACCUAAUUAUUAGUUUUUUACGAACAUCAUAUAAAGUAAUUUCUGAUAAGAUUAAACAAUUAUUCUGGACCUUGUUAACAUUUCAUGAAUCCAGGCCUUUCCAUUCUCUCAGCCUUCCUAUGCAGCUGAGCUUUUAUUAUAAUUGACAUUUGUUAGUAGCGGAAUUGUUGACUUUUGCUACAGUAGUCUCGUACAACAGUUUAAGUCCCUUCAGAAUUUCUUCUGAGAGCAAUGAGUCUGAGUUAUCACACUCCCUAAACACACAUUUCAAGAACCUGAGGCUUUUAGAGAAGAUGUAGCCAUAUUGCCCUUGGUCGAUACAAUUACUAUUUCCACCUAUAGCUCAGAAGUACAACUACAUUUUAGGAAAGCAAUUCUCUGCCUCUUAGGUACCUCUUCACUGCAAAAAUAUUCCAAGUGACUAUCGAUCCUAUUUAUAGUAUGAAUCGCUUCUUUUUGUGACUUUAAAUCUUAUUCUCACUUCGUCUUCCAGUAAAGCAUGAGAAAGUAGGAAAAAAGCUGGCUCAAAGAACAGUUUUAAGAAACCCUGAAGCUUUGCUCAGAGAUCCCUAGCCAGCUUUACAUUUCAUUACAGUAACACAGAUUUUACAUGCAUAAUUCCAUGUAUUAAACUACUUUCUUUCUACUUUGAAAUCUUUGAAAUCUACUGUUUAGGUAAUUUCAGUUCCUGCUGUUUUGUUUUCCUUAAGUAAACCCUGAAGCGCUGAGGUAACAACAUCACCAAACUGCCAGAACAUGAACAGAAUUAAUUUUAAAGUGAUGUUAUAAAAGCAUUAAGGCUGCAGCACCAAGCAGUCAAAAGUUAGUUAAAUGUUGGACUCAGAAUUCUCUAUGCAAAUGUAAUGUAAUUUCUUUGUGGCUUGUAAAAAUAAAGUCUUAUUCAGCAAAACAGAAGAAGCCUCUGAUCAAGAAUAAACCACAGUUUUUCUAGGUUAUUUCAAUGCUUCAAACAUUACACAAAUAUUUUCCAGACAUCUUUUACUUUGUUCUUUUUUAAUUUUGUAAUUUUCAUAGAGCAAGGAGUUCUAUGAAAUUGUGUAAUUAAAUACUCUAACACAAUUAAAAUGUACAUGGGGAACAAGCAUGGGACUAAUCCUUGGGAAAGCGAAUGCAAGACUGUGGCCCAUGCAGUCAGUGCAGCAAUGUAACUUCCUAGCACAUGCUGUUGGCAUAGAACCAUUUCUGGUUUAAAAAGACCCAGUUCUUCAACAUUUGAUUCAAAUCUGGAUUUUCUGAAAGCCAAAGUUUCUCAGAUUCUGACAAGAAAAUUGCAAAUCAAUUACCUGACUCGGCUUCAAAUUUAGAAUCAGAAUUUAAUAUUGUGGUUGUUGGGCAUUUUUACCUUUGCAUUUACAGUAAUGUUCAAAGUAGCAAAUCUUACCAAAUAAAUGGCAAUUGCCCCAUGUGAUUUAUUUAUAACUGCAUAAUCAGAAAAAAUGAAAUCCCAUGUAACCUACCCUCAGACACUGGCUACAAUAGCUGUUAAAAAAAUGGAAGAAUGUUUGACUAAAAACAUUCCUAAGGAAAUGAAGUACAUGAAAAAAUGUG
This is a long non-coding RNA of Neopsephotus bourkii (Bourke's parrot), 2649 nucleotides long. RefSeq lists it as uncharacterized. NCBI's taxonomy places the organism in Eukaryota, Metazoa, Chordata, Aves, Psittaciformes, Psittacidae. The transcript is spliced from 2 exons. The record is from RefSeq and is a predicted model, not a curated record.